UCCGGAUUUACUGGGCGUAAAGGGAGCGUAGGCGGACUUUUAAGUGAGAUGUGAAAUACUCGGGCUCAACUUGAGUGCUGCAUUUCAAACUGGAAGUCUAGAGUGCAGGAGAGGAGAAUGGAAUUCCUAGUGUAGCGGUGAAAUGCGUAGAGAUUAGGAAGAACACCAGUGGCGAAGGCGAUUCUCUGGACUGUAACUGACGCUGAGGCUCGAAAGCGUGGGGAGCAAACAGGAUUAGAUACCCUGGUAGUC
Molecule: ribosomal RNA, 252 nt
Filed under: Salmonella enterica subsp. enterica serovar Typhimurium
Lineage: Bacteria; Pseudomonadati; Pseudomonadota; Gammaproteobacteria; Enterobacterales; Enterobacteriaceae
Description: partial 16S ribosomal RNA
Rfam family: Bacterial small subunit ribosomal RNA
Source: RNAcentral